UGCAAGUCGAACGGUAACAGGAAGUAGCUUGCUACUUUGCUGACGAGUGGCGCACGGGUGAGUAAACUAUAGUUAAUGUGCCUCGAAGACUGGGAUAGCCACUGGAAACGGUGAUUAAUACUAGAUACACCUCUUUAGCUCAAGCUAGAGAGGGAAACGUUUUUUCGCUUCGAGAUCAGACUAUAUCCUACCAGUUAGUUGGUGAGGUAAUGGCUCACCAAGGCAAUGACGGGUAGCGGUUCUGAGAGGAUGAUCCGCCACACUGGUACUGAGACACGGACCAGACUCCUACGGGAGGCAGCAGUGAGGAAUAUUGCACAAUGGGGGAAACCCUGAUGCAGCAACGCCGCGUGGAGGAUGACGCAUUUCGGUGUGUAAACUCCUUUUAUAUGUCAAGAAAAUGACGGUAGCAUAUGAAUAAGCACCGGCUAACUCCGUGCCAGCAGCCGCGGUAAUACGGAGGGUGCAAGCGUUACUCGGAAUCACUGGGCGUAAAGGACGCGUAGGCUGUUUUGCAAGUCAGAUGUGAAAUCCAAUGGCUCAACCAUUGAACUGCAUUUGAAACUGCUAGACUAGAGUAUGGGAGGGGGAGAUGGAAUUAGUGGUGUAGGGGUAAAAUCCGUAGAUAUCACUAGGAAUACCUAAAGCGA
RNAcentral lists this ribosomal RNA (650 nucleotides) under uncultured bacterium. RNAcentral describes it as "bacterial SSU rRNA". It matches the Rfam family "Bacterial small subunit ribosomal RNA", at positions 56 to 718 of the family's 1533-position model. The record is from RNAcentral.